GAUGAACGCUGGCGGCGUGCCUAACACAUGCAAGUCGAGCGGACGGACGCGAAGCUUGCUUGUCUGAUGUUAGCGGCGGACGUGAGAGUAACGCGUGUAUCCCCUCCCUAUAAGACUGGGAUCACUUGGGGAAACCGGAGCUAAUACGAUAUAAUAUUUUGAACCGCAGGGUUCAAAGGUGAAAGACGGCCUUGCUGUCACUUAUAGAUGGAUCCGCGCUGCAUUAGCUAGUUGGUAAGGUAACGGCUUUCCAAGGCAACGAUGCAUAGCCGACCUGAGAGGGUGAUCGGCCACACUGGAACUGAGACACGGUCAAGACUCCUACGGGAGGCAGCAGUAGGGAAUCUUAGGCAAUGGGCGAAAGCCUGACGCAGCAACGCCGCGUGAGUGAUGAAGGUCUUCGGAUCGUAAAACUCUGUUAUUAGGGAAGAACAGCUGUGUAAGUAACCGUGCACAUCUUGACGGUACCUAAUCAAAAAGCAACGGCUAACUACGUG
Molecule: ribosomal RNA, 497 nt
Filed under: uncultured bacterium
Lineage: Bacteria
Description: partial 16S ribosomal RNA
Rfam family: Bacterial small subunit ribosomal RNA
Source: RNAcentral